RNAcentral lists this unclassified non-coding RNA (336 nucleotides) under Hevea brasiliensis (rubber tree). Lineage: Eukaryota; Viridiplantae; Streptophyta; Magnoliopsida; Malpighiales; Euphorbiaceae. The record is from RNAcentral.
AGAGAGAGAGAGAGAGAGAGAGAGAUGCAUCUAUGGCCUUCUAUGAGAAUAAGGGACUCUUUCAAGAUAGCAUAUCUGAAAAAGCUGGAGUGGAAUCUCCACAGAAUGAGCAGAGAGAAGCAGCGGUCUCAGCAAAGCGGUAGCAAUCAGGAGAAGCUCUUGGAUGAUCAAGAAAACGGUAUAGUUGAUGGGAGAGUUGCCGAAGAAACAACAAGUUCAAAGAAUUCUUUCUUAGCAAAAUCUGCUUUAAUUUGCAGAGAAAUCCUCCUGGUCCUUACUUGCUGCUACUGUUGUUUCGGUUGUGGAGCUUGUGUUGAUCAAGACAAGCUCCACAAC